Molecule: ribosomal RNA, 132 nt
Filed under: uncultured bacterium
Lineage: Bacteria
Description: partial 16S ribosomal RNA
Rfam family: Bacterial small subunit ribosomal RNA
Source: RNAcentral
GGGGAAUAUUGCCAAAUGGAGGAAACUCUGACCAGCAACGCCGCGUGAAUGAUGACGGUCUUCGGAUUGUAAAGUUCUUUUCUCAGGGACGAUAAUGUGACGGUACCUUAGGAAUAAGCCUCGGCUAACUAC